AAUAAAAUAAAAUAAAAUAAAUAACUUGUCCAGAAACAAAAACUUGAACUUGGGCAGAACUGCCAAAUCAGGUGGAGGAAAAAUCGUCGACCUCAAUUCACUAAGCAUAUGCCUCAAAAGACGAGAUGUUGAACACUAAGGAUAAAGGUUUCUAAUCAAAGUGUCACAAUUUUAAAGUGAUAAAAAUAUAUUAAACAAGUAGAACAUGUUAGUCAAUCCUUAUACCAACAAAGCAAGAUGGGUAACAGUAAGACAACUACGAUUAUCUGGUGU
RNAcentral lists this unclassified non-coding RNA (273 nucleotides) under Hevea brasiliensis (rubber tree). The record is from RNAcentral. Lineage: Eukaryota; Viridiplantae; Streptophyta; Magnoliopsida; Malpighiales; Euphorbiaceae.